GGCUCAGGACGAACGCUGGCGGCGUGCCUAAUACAUGCAAGUCGAGCGGACAGAUGGGAGCUUGCUCCCUGAUGUUAGCGGCGGACGGGUGAGUAACACGUGGGUAACCUGCCUGUAAGACUGGGAUAACUCCGGGAAACCGGGGCUAAUACCGGAUGGUUGUUUGAACCGCAUGGUUCAAACAUAAAAGGUGGCUUCGGCUACCACUUACAGAUGGACCCGCGGCGCAUUAGCUAGUUGGUGAGGUAACGGCUCACCAAGGCAACGAUGCGUAGCCGACCUGAGAGGGUGAUCGGCCACACUGGGACUGAGACACGGCCCAGACUCCUACGGGAGGCAGCAGUAGGGAAUCUUCCGCAAUGGACGAAAGUCUGACGGAGCAACGCCGCGUGAGUGAUGAAGGUUUUCGGAUCGUAAAGCUCUGUUGUUAGGGAAGAACAAGUACCGUUCGAAUAGGGCGGUACCUUGACGGUACCUAACCAGAAAGCCACGGCUAACUACGUGCCAGCAGCCGCGGUAAUACGUAGGUGGCAAGCGUUGUCCGGAAUUAUUGGGCGUAAAGGGCUCGCAGGCGGUUU
This 578-nucleotide ribosomal RNA is filed under the name uncultured Bacillus sp. Its description in RNAcentral is "bacterial SSU rRNA". It matches the Rfam family "Bacterial small subunit ribosomal RNA", at positions 21 to 581 of the family's 1533-position model. The record is from RNAcentral. Lineage: Bacteria; Bacillati; Bacillota; Bacilli; Caryophanales; Bacillaceae.